Molecule: ribosomal RNA, 281 nt
Filed under: Pickeliana sp. MZSP 72994
Lineage: Eukaryota; Metazoa; Arthropoda; Arachnida; Opiliones; Stygnidae
Description: partial large subunit ribosomal RNA
Source: RNAcentral
AUUUAAUUCAACAUCGAGGUCACAAACUUAAUUAUUAAUAAGAACUCGCCAACUAAAUUAUGCUGUUAUCCCUAGAGUAAUUUUUUUUAUCUUAUCUCAUAAUUCAAAAAUCUAAUUUCUUCAACUAUUACCCCAACCAAAAAUUUUAAAUUUUAAACUUCUAGGGUCUUCUCGUCCCAAAAAUUUAUAAAAGCAUUUUUACUUUUAAUUUAAAUUCAAAAUAACAAAUAAAAACAUUCCCCUAAAAUUUCUACCUUUCAUUCCAGUCCCCUAUUAAAGAA